RNAcentral lists this ribosomal RNA (439 nucleotides) under uncultured bacterium. RNAcentral's name for it is "partial 16S ribosomal RNA". It matches the Rfam family "Bacterial small subunit ribosomal RNA", at positions 338 to 795 of the family's 1533-position model. The record is from RNAcentral.
CCUACGGGUGGCAGCAGUGGGGGAUAUUGCACAAUGGGGGGAACCCUGAUGCAGCGCCGCCGCGUGGGUGAAGAAGCGCCUCGGCGCGUAAAGCCCUGUCAGCAGGGAAGAAAAUGACGGUACCUGAAGAAGAAGCCCCGGCAAACUACUUGCCAGCAGCCGCCGUAAUACGUAGGGGGCAAGCGUUAUCCGGAUUUACUGGGUGUACAGGGGUCGCAGACGGCGAUGCAAGGCAGCGGUCAAGUUGCUGGGUUAAACCCCGUUCUGCCGUUGAAACUUCAUCCCUUGAGUGCGCGAGAGGUAUGCGGAAUGCGUGGUGUAGCGGUGAAAUGCAUAGAUAUAACGCAGAACUCCGAUUGCGAAGGCAGCAUACCGGCGCGCAACUGACGCUCAUGCACGAAAGCGUGGGUAUCGAACAGGAUUAGAUACCCCAGUAGUC